Molecule: unclassified non-coding RNA, 2081 nt
Filed under: Hevea brasiliensis (rubber tree)
Lineage: Eukaryota; Viridiplantae; Streptophyta; Magnoliopsida; Malpighiales; Euphorbiaceae
Source: RNAcentral
AAAAAAGAGUUAUAUGAUCGGAGCCUUUUCAAUUUGGCAACCUCUAAAGCUAGUGGCAUACUGUCUUGUACUCCUUAGUUUUCUAAGCAUUGGUUAUCCCUCCAAUGGGCCUGACCUUGAAGGUGAAGCUUUGGUUGAGCUUCUAAAAGCACUCAAUGACUCCAGUGGCCGAAUAAAAGAUUGGAAUUAUUAUUUGGUGAGCCCUUGCUUUAGUUGGUCUCAUAUCACUUGCAGAAAUGGAAGUGUCACAUCCCUGAGCUUGGCAUCAAAUGGAUUUUCAGGAACUCUUUCACCUGCAAUUACCAAACUGAAGUUCUUGGUUAGCUUGGAACUACAGAGCAAUAAUCUGUCGGGUCCACUACCUGAUUAUCUCAGCAAUAUGGUACACCUAGAAAAUCUGAAUCUUGCAAAUAAUAAAUUCAAUGGUUCUAUACCUGUUACUUGGGGCCAGCUGUCCAACUUAAAGCAUUUGGAUCUUUCAGCUAAUGACUUGAUUGGACGAGUACCAGUUCAAUUCUUUUCAGUUCCAGAGUUCAAAUAACUUGUACAAAGGGUCUGGCUGCAUCUUGUAUGUAUAGGGAAAUAUCUCCUCCUUCCUGCUUUUGUUUUCACUCUGUGCAAGUUUCACCAUGACAGGUCUUAGUUGUGGUUCUAGCCCAGAGCAACCUUGUGUUUCAAGCUCUCCCUUUCCAGGUUUAUUUGAUAAAAUUUUCCUAUGUUGGAUACUAUUUCCAUGACAUAAUACCGUAGAUGGAGCCUAAACUAUUGAUAUUUUGCAGUUUCUACCAGCAAGUCAAGACUUAGGAUGAUUGUAAUUGCUGCAAGCUGUGGUGCUUUCAUACUUAUGCUACUUGGCAUUGCAUACCGUUACCAUCAACUGCACAAACUACAAAAUGAUGUCUUUGUGGAUGUUGCUAGUGAAGAUGAUUGCAAAAUUUCCUUUGGGCAGCUUAAAAGAUUUUCAUGGCCUGAGAUCCAGAUUGCAACAGACAAUUUUAGCGAACACAACAUAAUUGGACAGGGAGGCUUUGGAAAAGUUUACAAAGGAGUACUUUCAGACAACACAAAGGUUGCUAUAAAACGCCUUUCAGAUUAUCACAGCCCUGGAGGAGAAGCUGCUUUCCAAAGAGAAGUUCAGCUUAUUAGUGUUGCAGUUCAUAGGAAUCUUCUACGACUGAUUGGUUUUUGUAUGACCUCCUCUGAGAGAAUCCUUGUUUAUCCAUUUAUGAAAAAUCUGAGUGUCGCAUACCACCUGAGAGAUUUGAAACCUGGAGAAAAGGGUUUGGACUGGCCAACGAGGAAGCAAGUGGCCUUUGGUGUAGCUCAUGGACUGGAGUAUCUACAUGUGCAUUGUAAUCCUAAGAUUAUACAUCGUGACUUAAAGGCUGCUAACAUCCUAUUAGAUGACAAUUUUGAAGCUGUUCUUGGAGAUUUUGGGUUAGCAAAGCUGGUUGAUACAAAAUUCACUCAUGUUACGACCCAGAUACGUGGUACCAUGGGUCACAUUGCCCCCGAAUAUUUGUCCACUGGAAAGUCUUCAGAAAAGACAGAUGUGUUUGGAUAUGGCAUAACGCUUCUUGAAUUGGUAACUGGUCAGCGUGCAAUAGACCUUUCUCGGCUUGAAGAGGAAGAGGAUGUUCUUCUGAUUGAUCACAUCAAAAAGUUACUGAGAGAAGAUAGAUUUGACGACAUUGUAGAUGGAAACUUGAAGACUUAUGACCGUGAAGAAGUUAAGACAAUUGUUCAGGUUGCAUUGUUGAGCACCCAAAGCUCGCCUGAAGACCGUCCCACAAUGACAGAAGUGGUUAAACUGCUACAAGGAGUUGGUCUGGCUGAGAGAUGGACAAAAUGGGAGGAGCAAGCGAGGAAUCAAGAAUUCUCACUCAUUUCUCGCCGAUAUGCAUGGGCUGAAGAUUCAAUUGUUAAUCAAGAAGCCAUACAGUUGUCCAAGGCUAGAUAGAGCUUUUGUGGUACGGAAUCAAUUUUGAGAGCAUUAUCAACCUAUUAAGUGGAUUACUGUAAGCUAUUGAUUCAAACAUUAUCAACCUAUUAAGUGGAUUACUGUAAGCUAUUGAUUCAAA